RNAcentral lists this ribosomal RNA (632 nucleotides) under Acarospora applanata. Its description in RNAcentral is "SSU rRNA". It matches the Rfam family "Bacterial small subunit ribosomal RNA", at positions 395 to 1112 of the family's 1533-position model. Lineage: Eukaryota; Fungi; Ascomycota; Lecanoromycetes; Acarosporales; Acarosporaceae. The record is from RNAcentral.
UAUUAGUUAAUGCAAGAUCGACUACGUCGACUAAAGUUCUAGGUAGAAUAAUGAUGAUGACAAUUUUUUACCUAUAUGUCUUGACCAAGUCUCGUGCCAGCAGUCGCGGUAAUACGUGGAAGACUAGUGUUAUUCAUCUUUAUUAGGUUUAAAGGGUACCUAGACGGUAUUUCUAGCCCAAAAUAGGGUACGGAUUUACUAGAGUUUUAUGUGAGGAGGGGAGUACUCGUGGAGUAGAGAUGAAAUUUUGUUAUACUAUGAGGUAACUGGUGGCGGCGAAAGCAACCUUCUAUGUAUAAACUGACGUUGAGGGACGAAGGCUUGGGUAGCAAAUAGGAUUAGAUACCCUAGUAGUCCAAGCAGACAAUUCUGAAUGCCAUAGAUUAGAUUAUUUUUGGUCUAUAAAUGAAAGUGUAAGCAUUCCACCUUAGGAGUAAUGUGGCAACACAGGAACUGAAAUCAUUAGACCGUUUCUGAAACCAGUAGUGAAGUAUGUUAUUUAAAUUGAUGGUCCACAAAAAACCUUACCACAACUUGAAUAUUUUUUAAUUAAUACAAGCGUUGCACGGCUGUCUUCAGUUAAUGUCGUGAGAUUUUGGUUAACUCCAUUAAUUAACGUAAACCCUUACUUU